AAUUAAAUGCGGUGGAGAGAAGUCAUCUGUUAAUACCUUCUUACCCAGAGCUAAAAGUGUGCUUGCGUAUCCCCUCUGUUGAAGGAACUGGCUGAUCUAACAGAGAAAGCUGAAAGCUGCUUCAAGGCUGCAGCUCUGGCCACAGGAUGCAAAGUCAAAUUAAAAAGCGAGUAUUCAGAUUACUACAAUAUGCUUCAAAGUAAAUCCCUGGAGCAAACCUAUGUGGGAAAAUGGGAAGAGUUUCAGGAUGGAGUUUUCAGGUUCCACCAACUUUGGGAAUGUUUCCCAUGUUGUUCCAGGAAUUCAUCCUUUUUAUAUACUGGUUCAAAUGCUCUGAAUCAUAUUGAGGAAUUCACUCAAGCAUCAUGGUCAGAAUCAGCACAGCAAUACGCCUUGCGUAUAGCUAAAGCAUUAGCAAUGACUGCACUCACUGUUAUCUUUAGAUCAGGCCUACUGGAUCAAGUCCCGGAGGAUUACAGACAAGCAAAGCUAGAAGGUCAGGAGUCCUGAAGUGUGAAAGGGAAAGCCUGUUUUUCUUCCUGUAAGCUCAAAAUGCUUUGACUCUUCAAAAUACCAUUUCUGACUGCACACCACUAGUUCAUAACUUUAAUACUGUAAUUUCAUCAAUAGCUACAAAUUCUGGAAUUCAGACUGUUUGUACAUAGCCUAACACUGUCUAACUUUACCGAUCUCUUUGAGUGAAUGCAGCAUUGCACAAAGUUCUUUUCCAUACUUUUGCUUUUCAUUUUGGUUAAUAUAAAGUAUGUCAGUGGAUUCAUAAGGCACUGGAAAUCGUGUAUCUGAAGGUGGUUAAAUCCAGGGAAAUAUUUUAUUACUAUGAGCGUUCUUCUAUUUCAUGAUCCUUUCUCCGUAGCUCAAGAGUUGCCUUCUAGCUGAAUUUUCUUUUCAUCUAAUGUGGAAAGUUUUAUAUUCUGCUCAAUUUUAACAGCUGAAUCUAGACCUGUUGUCAUAAGCUGCCUGCAUAAAGAUAUAGAUUUCAUGUUAUCAACUUGCCUGUUCCAGCCAUUUGACACGUGAAGUUUAAGCCCAAAUUGAAAACCUUUUUACAUGCUCAGUCCUGACCUUUACAAUGUACUGAGAUCUAUAACAACAACCAUCAGUCAUGCCUCGUGAUUUUAUAGUAAAUGUUCAUUCCAACAAAAAAAUUAAGCACUCUGACAGUAUAAUCCUAUAUCUCUCUACUCAAAAGUAUAUUCCACUGAGUUCAAUGAAACUUUCUCCCUGUGAAGGCCUCCCAACAAACAUGGGAUUGUUCAGAUUCCCUUUCCUGAGACCAUAGACACUCAGGAGAGGCCCUCUGAGUUCUGAUCCCCUGCCUCUUUUCAGCCACCAUGGAAAAGAAAUGCCGAAGUCACAAAACGUGGCCUCAGAAAAAGGGAAAAGAGGGCAUUCUGGUAGGACAAAUCCAGCUGUCCAGCAGGGCAUUCAGUACUUGGAAGCCUCUGAGAUUAGAGGCUUCCUUAUAUGUCUCUUAAUGUCUUCAAAGCUACUUGGUUCUAAAACAAGGAUUCUAUCAUCAGCAUAAAAAGUGAUUAUUUUGGCAAUUUAAGAUUUUUUAAGGGCAAAACAUUGGCUUUUUGUUCUGUUGCAAUGAUUUUGAGUGCAGAAAUACACCUUGAUUUCACCCCUUUACAUAAAACAUGUAAAUAAAAUUAAUGUACGCUAUUAUCUUUCUGUGAUUUAUACUUUAGAGAUCUUGGGUUAGAUCCUGUUGUUUUUCUGCCAGUGGGAACAUUCCUUAAACAGCAUUCUGCUCAGAAUAGUCCUACCAGCAGAAAGUAGAGGGAGGAGACCUGUGCUGAUUCCUCCCUCUCACAGCUUCCUCAGUGCCAUUUCCACUGUUCUGGAAGGUUCCCUAACCUUCUGAAGAUUUGGAGGGGAAUAAAGAGACUGCAGGAGGAAGGGAAAUCAAUGGUUGCUGUUGCCUCCAUUCGGCCAGUGAGAUUUCUCUGCUGGAUCAGAAACCUUCAGCAGAUGGAAGGCGGGUUCUGGAUCCACCCCCUUGCAAUGUAUCUUACUUCAAAUAUUUAUGGGCUAAAUUCUGAUGGCCUCUGUAUAUUUAAGUUGGAGAAGUUUCUGUAAGGAAUGGUAGUGAAAGGGCUUCAUGUAAACAGAACAUAUCUGCAGUGCUGCUUAUGGUCUCUGUAGCAUUCUGAAGUCUGUUACACUACCUUAAUGAGAAUAGCUUGUUCAAUACAGUGAAUAAUUUAAUUCAGGGAUGGAGAACAUCAUGCCCAGGGGGCCAAAUCCAGAGUUUCCCAAAUGACCACACCUGCUCCCAACCCCAAAUAAUAUGUUUUCCCUGCUUUUGUGUAGAUUUUUUUCCUAUUCUAAAAGGUUCAAAUGCUUUUUCUAAGGCUUAUUGGCAGUAAGAGCUUUAAGGUACAAUAUGCUGGUAUUUUUUGCUUCUACCCCUUUUGUUCCUCCCCCUUUGCCUUCAGCCUUGCCAUUCACUGGAAUGUGGCUCUUGAGAGUAUCAAAACUGAAUUUGGUUCUCUGGCUGAAGGGGUGCCCACCUGUGAUUUAAUUAUUGCUAUUGUAAUUUUUGUAAACCGCCCAGAGAGCUUCGGCUGUUGGGCGGUAUAAAAAUGAAAUAAAUAAAUACUGUAACAGUCCGGUGCAAUUGUUACAUUGCUGCUUUAGAAAACUGUUUCAGUGCAAAUGUACCUCAAUAAGAAGUAUUGAAACAUCUCUAUGAUUCCUGUAGUAGCUCCACUUCAAAAUCCUGUGGGACUACUUCUAGCUUACUCUAUAGUAGUAUUAAUUCAGUAACUGCGUAAUCCUAUAUGCAUGUCCACUCAGGAGUAAGUCCUAUUUAAUUCAGUGAUGUGUACUCCCAGGUAAAUGUGCAUAGAUUGCAACCUAAAUGUUCUUCUUAAAAUAACAUUUGGCCUUAUUGUGGGGUAAACAGUAUUGUUAUAACUUUAAAAUCAUUGAGCUGUUUGGGAGGGUGAUAUCAAAGCACCAAAAUAUGAUUAGUUAGCAAUAAUGCAGAGAACACUCUGUGUGUGUGUGUGUGUGUGUGUGUGUAAGCAAAAAAGUUGACAUUUCUACUUCUGUUAAUAGUGUUGAUAAAAGUGUUUUACAAUAUUUUGUUUUGCAAUCUUAGCUAUUUACACAAAUAUUUAAAAUGUACAGUAUUUUAUAUUUUUACAAAUGGAAAAAAGUAUUAAUAUGGCCCAUCAUUUCUGUAAUUAAAACACAGAUGUCAAAGCUAGCAAUUUCAAAAUGAGAUUUUUAAAAAUUCCUUAUUUUUGUAGCCACAUAAAUACAAUGUUCUGUACUUUAGUAAUGUUU
Elgaria multicarinata webbii is the source of this 3318-nucleotide long non-coding RNA. RefSeq lists it as uncharacterized. The record is from RefSeq and is a predicted model, not a curated record. Lineage: Eukaryota; Metazoa; Chordata; Lepidosauria; Squamata; Anguidae. The transcript is spliced from 4 exons.